Molecule: long non-coding RNA, 834 nt
Organism: Hemicordylus capensis (graceful crag lizard)
Lineage: Eukaryota; Metazoa; Chordata; Lepidosauria; Squamata; Cordylidae
Exons: 3
Source: RefSeq, a predicted model, not a curated record
CCGGCAGCAAGGAAGGGCCCAAUGUUGCUGUUUGGGGCUACCAAGGCCAUUGGCGGAGGGAGGCAGGCAGGCAAGGGCCUGGGCCUGACAGCAGCCUGAGGGGAAUGAGCAGCUAUAGCAGUGGUUGCAGUGAGGAAGGGCUCCUGUGGGGAGGAGAAGGAGCAAGAAUGGGGCUCGGGUGAGGAAGUCUCUGAGAAUAGGAGGCUGCUGCUUGCCCAGCAAUGCCGCAACCGUGACCAAGAGGGGUGAGGGGGAUGGAAGCAACGGAAUGGAAGAGGAGGAGCAGGAGUGCAGCUCGGGUGAAGGUGGGGAGAUCUCUUAGGUAGGGGCUGUGGCGGAGGUGAAGGAAGCAAUCAAGUACUAGCACGCAGAUGUUCUGCGCAGAUGCCCUGCAGCUUAUGCCACACCUGCAAAAGCACCUAUGUAUUUCAGUGCCAACUGGACUUACUCCUCAAAGCUCAAGUUUGUUCCCAACAGCACUAGUAACAAAACUCCUAUUGACAAGCAGCUGCUAAAUUAAGAAGGUUAAAAUUACCUUUGGAAGCACUUGGACUACUAGUGCAACAUUAGGAUAUCUCAACUGCUUAGGAGGAAGCAAGAAAUAGAGAGGACAUGUGCAAAUGAGUAAGAGUAACAGCUUCGGAGACUUGGUGUUAAUUGGUAACUUUUUGUAAUAGGAUUUGUAACUUUUGUAAUAGAUGACUGAUCCUAUGGUCAUGAAGGCAACGUUUAAACGAUGUAUAAAUAUCACCCUGAGAAUGAAGCUCAGGGUUGAUGCUUUGAGAAAGAUCACCUUUAGCCAUUAUUCUGCACAGAAUAAAGUUCUAAACACUC